GGGGGCGACUGGAUUCGACAUGAUAGUCCUGCGUCGGGCAGCAUGCGGUGGUCUCCUCGCCACCUUAAACAGGGGUACCGUCAAAAUUAAUUGACAACAGAAGCUAUGCCCUCGCCGCCUAAUUAAAGGCCGCGACGCCUAAUCGGGAUACAUCCCCGCUCCCGAGGUGGCGCCAUCUCAGGGGAAUGCCCCUGCACACGUAGUCGGUCUGGUGCAGGGAAAGACUGAACCGGCUGGCGACAGGUUCGUUGGCACGUUGACCAGCCUGAAGCGAGAUUCGAUAACGCGCUGAGCAUGGAGACACCUGGCAAGGGGUUAGCAUGGACCGGAGUUCGACUCUCCGCGCCUCCACCA
Molecule: transfer-messenger RNA, 354 nt
Filed under: Coriobacteriales bacterium
Lineage: Bacteria; Bacillati; Actinomycetota; Coriobacteriia; Coriobacteriales
Rfam family: transfer-messenger RNA
About the family: Bacterial tmRNA, also known as 10Sa RNA or SsrA, is named for its dual tRNA and mRNA-like properties.
Source: RNAcentral